Molecule: small nuclear RNA, 108 nt
Organism: Sciurus vulgaris (Eurasian red squirrel)
Lineage: Eukaryota; Metazoa; Chordata; Mammalia; Rodentia; Sciuridae
Source: Ensembl
GUGCUCACUUAGGCAAUACAUAUACAAGGAUUGGAAUGAUACAGAGUAGAUUAAUAAUGGCUCCUGCACAAAGAUGACAUGCAAACUUGUGAAACAGUCCAUAGUUUU